AAUAUUGGUCAAUGGACGCAAGUCUGAACCAGCCACGUCGUGUGAAGGAAGACGGCCCUACGUGUUGUAAACUUCUUUUGCAAGGGAAUAAAGAGGGCCACGCGUGCCCUUUUGCAUGUACCUUGCGAAUAAGGACCGGCUAACUCCUCGCUAGCAGCCGCGGUAAACCGGAGGAUCGGAGCGUUAUCCGAAUUUAUUGGUUUUAGAGGGUGCUCAGGCGGGGGAUUAAGUCGGCAGUGAAAUUUUGCGGCUCAACCGUAAAAGUGCCUUCGAAACUGGUUUCCUUGGGUGUGGAUGAGGUAGGCGGAAUUUGUGGUGGAGCGGUGAAAUGCAUAGAUAUCACGAGGAACUCCGAUUGCGCAGGCAGCUUACCAGGCCAUAACUGACGCUCAAGCACGAAGGCGUGGGGAUCAAACAG
This 418-nucleotide ribosomal RNA is filed under the name uncultured bacterium. RNAcentral describes it as "partial 16S ribosomal RNA". It matches the Rfam family "Bacterial small subunit ribosomal RNA", at positions 360 to 775 of the family's 1533-position model. The record is from RNAcentral.